This 2030-nucleotide long non-coding RNA is filed under the name Struthio camelus australis. Its description in RNAcentral is "lncRNA (ENSSCUG00000016340.1)". The record is from RNAcentral. Lineage: Eukaryota; Metazoa; Chordata; Aves; Struthioniformes; Struthionidae.
UCUCAGUAGGCUAUUAACAUAUCGCCAUACUAAUUAGGCUACUUCACGAGUGAUAUAAUUUCAAACUUUAAAUUACGUUCUAAUUAACAAGGGUUGUCCAAUUUGCUUAAUCUUCAAAAGGCUUUUCGGCUUGUCUAAUUAGUCUAAACUAUUGAGCAUCUCAAGCGCCUAGUAAAAAGCCAUAAAUAAUAUUUUUGUAUUUUCAUUUAAAUAUCGGGUAAAGUUUACCAGAAAGACUCGAAAGCCGUGACGGGAAGGGGCUGGCAGAGAGACAGAUGUCCUUCUACCUCCCUCCGCCUGAGUCAUUGCAGCUCCUUUUGCCGUCCCUCUGCUCCCGCUUCAGCCUCCCAAGCAGCAAUCAUGACCUUUUCCGUUUCCGUACGAGCUUGCGACGAGGUUUUCAGAGAAAACAGACGCGCAGGAAAAACCUCUUGCUUGCCGGGGAGGGAAAAAAACAAAACAAAAAAAGAGCAAAAUAGCGCCUUUGCACUCGGAAGUCCGAAGGAAACCAACACAUUGUGCAUGAGCGGAACCGAGAAAAGGGCUUUCUACUCCUCGCUCUUUGGCUGAACUUUGCUAGCAGUAAUGACGAUAGAGAUAAAAUUGUGAAGAGGGGAAUUCACAGAUGUAAAGCGAUUUCUUCUGGGAAUGAAAGUACGUGACUGUACAAAACAGAGGAGAGUCUUGCAAUGAACCCAUCUAACAAAGAGCUUUACAGAUGCGUGAUCACAAAUCAUAUUGCAAACACAUCCACUAAUGAAGGGUGAAAGUCCUCUCUGCCCCCUUACGCCCUUUAAAAGGAGCAAUGAGAAAGUGCGAGUUCGAGGCACAGCUGCUGCCCGCAGGACGGUGCUACGGCACAAGACAGUGCUUGCGUAUCAGUGGGAAGCUACGUGCAAGAGGCUAAUGGUGAAGCAGCAGAGAGUACACAGACAAAUGCCAAGCCAGCCCUUCCUCCCCACCAAAGCUGAUUGUUCCUGCCCUGGCUUUAACCCAGGAGGCAGUCUGUCGAAAUUCAAGUCCAGCACGGCAAGCAGUAGAAAAAACAGAUCCAUAUUCGUUUUUUUUGCCUAGCAUUUGUCUCUCUGUCCCCCGGAAGUGGACACUCACCGGGUUAUCUGAUGUCCCACAGGAGUUAGACCAACUUGCCCGGUAGCCCCCGCUUGGGUACGUCUUACCCCUGCCUCGGCGGGGGGGGGCAGGGGAGGCGUUCCUGCCGGCAGCCCAACGGUGAGUGAAACCGCACCGCUCAGCCAUCGCUGCGUCCGCUCUGCGGUCUGCCAAGAAGGGAAGGGAGCUCUUCACGCGCCUGCCUUGCAGGAGGUCAUCGUUAGUUGGUCAAGAUAUCUCCAGCGCUGUUUUCCAUGAAUGUAUUUGAUACGGCAGCUUCAAGUUACGUCGUUUCGAACAGACAGGACGGACAGUUUAUGAACACAGGCUUCUUAAAAGCAAGCUGGGAGGAGGAAGGAGGAGAGGUUUUUUACCGUAUUUUAGGCCAAAAAGUUCCUUUGGCAGCAGAUUUUCUGUAACAAGUGAGAACAACAAGAAUUAGCUCUCUCAGCACUUCCAGCAAAGACUGUGUCUGUAAUCAAAAGAAUCAGGGCUUGUUUGACAUAAACUGCACAAUGGCACAGGAAAGAUGCAGGAGGGCAGAAAUAUAUUAUCGAAGGCGAGGGAAACAAAUUCCCGGCUCUACUGGGAACUCGAGGUUCUGGCUCCUUCUCGUGUGCAGCUACAGCUGGCAUCCUCCCACAAAGGCGUAAAGGCAGGUCUGGCCGGUUGCGGCAAAUCUUGGUGAGGAACAGGUCAUAGCUGCGACCUACCUGAUUUCUUAUAAUCCAAAUACUUCCCUUUUUCUCCCUUUGUACACAGUUCUUCCUUAUGCAGAAAUGCAAAUUCUCGCUGGACUUCUGAGACUUCAAAACUGAUUUGAAUUCUUAUGUUCCCCCACAAAGGGUGAAGUAGGAUAUCCCAAGGUAGACAGGCCUCCAAAUAAUAAACAGGUCUGAGAAACCUGGAAUAGUUUACUU